Molecule: ribosomal RNA, 423 nt
Filed under: Enterobacteriaceae bacterium R-49440
Lineage: Bacteria; Pseudomonadati; Pseudomonadota; Gammaproteobacteria; Enterobacterales; Enterobacteriaceae
Description: bacterial SSU rRNA
Rfam family: Bacterial small subunit ribosomal RNA
Source: RNAcentral
UAACACAUGCAAGUCGAACGGUAACAGGAAACAGCUUGMUGUUUCGCUGWCGAGUGGCGGACGGKUGAGUAAUGUCUGGGAAACUGCCUGAUGGAGGGGGAUAACUACUGGAAACGGUAGSUAAUACCGCAUAAUGUCGCAAGACCAAAGAGGGGGACCUUCGGGCCUCUUGCCAUCGGAUGUGCCCAGAUGGGAUUAGMUAGUAGGUGGGGUAACGGYUCACCUAGGCGACGAUCCCUAGCUGGUCUGAGAGGAUGACCAGCCACACUGGAACUGAGACACGGUCCAGACUCCUACGGGAGGCAGCAGUGGGGAAUAUUGCACAAUGGGCGCAAGCCUGAUGCAGCCAUGCCGCGUGUAUGAAGAAGGCCUUCGGGUUGUAAAGUACUUUCAGCGGGGAGGAAGGGAGUAAAGUUAAUACCU